AUCACCUCUUGGCCUUUUGGCUAAGAUCAAGUGUA
RNAcentral lists this small nuclear RNA (35 nucleotides) under Cervus elaphus hippelaphus. The record is from RNAcentral. Lineage: Eukaryota; Metazoa; Chordata; Mammalia; Artiodactyla; Cervidae.